This is a long non-coding RNA of Anguilla anguilla (European eel), 1177 nucleotides long. RefSeq lists it as uncharacterized. The transcript is spliced from 5 exons. Lineage: Eukaryota; Metazoa; Chordata; Actinopteri; Anguilliformes; Anguillidae. The record is from RefSeq and is a predicted model, not a curated record.
CCAAUUUCCCAUACGCCACGAGAUUUCAUGAGCGACCUAAACCCUUACGUCGUGGAAUAUCUAGUGCACAGUUAAUAACACUCCAGCACAACACAGCGGUGGUUUCAGUCGUUGGAGAAGACGGGCAAAAGGCCUGGCCUGGUUCAGUGGCGGCUAAUGGGUAGCACACACCCAUACACAUGGUGCACCGGGUUAAGGUUCACGGCAGAGGUCAGCUGGAUGCUGCCUGGGUGCCACAAAUCUAUUACCAUCCUCCUGGCUCAUGGCCAAAGAUGUUUCCAGCUUUAGGAAAAUGCAGGCUUGAAUGACUCAUGCAAAGAAGAAAACACUUUUAAUUCCCUGGGCUUUCUGAAGAAGAAGAAUGAUUCACUUGGGGGCCAGUGACGAAUCAGGCAUGCCUUAAAUUGCACCACUGCCUGAACUGGCACUGUGUGGGACAAUGCUACUCAGGUCAUGGAACAAGAGGACGUUCCGGCCGUUAAUGAACCAAUGUCUGGCCACGCCCCUUACUGUAUGUUCACAGUGAGACUGCACAUCAGAUCAUUUUAAUGUGGACCAUUAGUGGCGCGUGUUUUGCAUGUUAAGUGCUAGGAGCUGAAUACUGUUAAUAUAUACUGCAAGUGUGCUGAUUAUUUCCUCUGUGUCGUAUCACUGUAUCAUAAAGCAUGGCUGUGUCUGUGAUCUUUUAAUGCUUAUUUAGUCUCCUGGAAAGCUGUACUGUAGACAUGCAUUGCAUUUUCAGUUAAUGCCUCUGUCUCACCGGAUCUCUGUUUGAAUCUGCUGUUUCUGUCACGGAAAAUUAAGUAGUUUAAUCACUAAAAUCUCAUUUCGAAGCCCUGCAGCCUUUAGAAGCCGCACAGACGAUGUGUCGAUGCACUGGAGGAGCCAAUGAGAUGCAACACUGUUAAAUGGAAUCGCUGCUCUAAGAGGAGAGGCAGCAGUGCUUUGGUUCCAAGGUGUCCAGUGGCCCCCAGUACGACCCUACAUUGGCUGGGCUGUUCUUCAGGGUGUCUGACUGAAGUCUCUGCCUUUCCUAAACUGACUGUGGUCUCAGAAUUCACCAAAUAGGCUACAAUUAUUUAUCGCUUGGCUUCAGCAGCAUUGACAUUGUUAAUGGCGGUCUACGUGGUGAGGAAAUGUUGUUUAUGUAGUUAAUGUCUAAUGAUAAAUUACUAAU